This 253-nucleotide ribosomal RNA is filed under the name uncultured bacterium. Its description in RNAcentral is "partial 16S ribosomal RNA". It matches the Rfam family "Bacterial small subunit ribosomal RNA", at positions 524 to 776 of the family's 1533-position model. The record is from RNAcentral.
UACGAACUGUGCGAACGUUAUUCGGAAUCACUGGGCUUACAGGGUGCGUAGGCGGCUUAGCAAGUCAGGCGUGAAAGCCCCGGGCUCAACCUGGGAACCGCGCUUGAGACUGGAGAACUAGAGUUCGGGAGAGGAUGGUGGAAUUCCCAGUGUAGAGGUGAAAUUCGUAGAUAUUGGGAAGAACACCGAUGGCGAAGGCAGCCAUCUGGACCGACACUGACGCUGAGGCGCGAAAGCGUGGGGAGCAAACAGG